This 338-nucleotide ribosomal RNA is filed under the name uncultured bacterium. RNAcentral's name for it is "bacterial SSU rRNA". It matches the Rfam family "Bacterial small subunit ribosomal RNA", at positions 29 to 398 of the family's 1533-position model. The record is from RNAcentral.
AACGAACGCUGGCGGCAUGCCUAACACAUGCAAGUCGAACGAGACCUUCGGGUCUAGUGGCGCACGGGUGCGUAACGCGUGGGAACCUGCCUUUAGGUUCGGGAAUAACUCAGAGAAAUUUGAGCUAAUACCGGAUAAUGUCUUCGGACCAAAGAUUUAUCGCCUUUAGAUGGGCCCGCGUUGGAUUAGCUAGUUGGUGGGUAAAGCCUACCAAGGCGACGAUCCAUAGCUGGUCUGAGAGGAUGACCAGCCACACUGGGACUGAGACACGGCCCAGACUCCUACGGAGGCAGCAGUGGGAAUUUGGACAAUGGGCGCAAGCCUGAUCCAGCAAUGCC